AGUGCGACGGGGGGACCCCAAGUGCCACUCUUAACGGGGUGGCUUUUUUUGAGUGUAAAAAGCUUUGAGAAUAAGAGCUGGGCAAGACCGGUGCCAGCAGCCGCGGUAA
This 109-nucleotide ribosomal RNA is filed under the name uncultured Methanobacterium sp. RNAcentral's name for it is "partial 16S ribosomal RNA". It matches the Rfam family "Archaeal small subunit ribosomal RNA", at positions 364 to 473 of the family's 1478-position model. The record is from RNAcentral. Lineage: Archaea; Methanobacteriati; Methanobacteriota; Methanobacteria; Methanobacteriales; Methanobacteriaceae.